UACGUAGGUCCCGAGCGUUGUCCGGAUUUAUUGGGCGUAAAGCGAGCGCAGGUGGUUUAUUAAGUCUGGUGUAAAAGGCAGUGGCUCAACCAUUGUAUGCAUUGGAAACUGGUAGACUUGAGUGCAGGAGAGGAGAGUGGAAUUCCAUGUGUAGCGGUGAAAUGCGUAGAUAUAUGGAGGAACACCGGUGGCGAAAGCGGCUCUCUGGCCUGUAACUGACGCUGAAGCACGAAGGCGUGGGUAUCGAACAGG
RNAcentral lists this ribosomal RNA (252 nucleotides) under uncultured bacterium. RNAcentral describes it as "partial 16S ribosomal RNA". It matches the Rfam family "Bacterial small subunit ribosomal RNA", at positions 524 to 776 of the family's 1533-position model. The record is from RNAcentral.